CCCAUUUUACAGAUGGAGAACUGAGACCCAGAGAAAUUAAAUCACUUGUAUUAGGGCGUACAGGAAGCCUGUCACUGAGUCAGGAACUGAACCUAGAUCUCCGGGGUUCUUCUACCUUAACCUUUUCUCUGCAAUGCGAAUGGUAACACUUCCUUUGCAAUGUAAAAGAUCCCAGCAGUCUGUUCUCUCCGUGAGCAUCCAUGCUGCUUGACCAAGAGGCUUGAUUUCCCUACACAACCCCAGGUCCUGGUAAGACAUCAUUCUGGAUUUGCCAUGGGGGUAGGUGCUCUUCUUGUAGUGUCAAUUUUGCUGUGCCUGGUUAGAGUUCUAAGGCCUCAAUACGCUGUUGGCUCACCAGCUCAAUCCCCCUCCGAGUCGAGAGCUCCUCUGAUGGGGGAUGUGAUUUAAAUUCAUCGCUCCUCAGAACUGACUGGCCUUUCAUCCAUCUGAGGAUGAUACAUACACCUAGUACUCCGAGUUUGAGACUAUAACAGUUUACUGUAACAUUAAUAGUCCUCAGAGCCAGUUUUCAAGAGGAUAAUUGCUUAAUUAUAUAUAUAAUGCAAGAAGCCUUCAGGUCACUUCAUUUCAUAAUUGAAUAUUUCAUGGGCCUUUAAUCCCAGUAUCUCAAGGCAUUUUACAAUCCUGAAUGAAUUAAUCCUUACAAUCCACCCCUGAGAGAUAGGGGAGUAUCAUCCUCAUUUUACAGAUGGGGAAAACUGAGGCACAAACAGGUGAAGUGACUUGCCAAAGGUCACAAAGUUUAUCAGUGGCAGAGUCAGGAGUAGGACCCAGGAGUCCUGAUUCUCACUUCCCUACUGCUGCCCCAAGACAAUGCACCUUCCCUUCAAAAUCAGAUUUUUGGGUCUGGGGAAGAAGGGGAAAGAGAUCUGAGUUUAAGUGAGAAAACUACUCUGGGCCCAACCCUACAGAUUAUUACCUAAACAAUCCUUACACAAAUAUUCCCAUUGACUUCAGUGGGACUGCUAAUAUGUGUGGAGCUUGCAGUAUCAGAUCCUGUGCCAGAGUGUUACAUUUACACAUGUUAGCAAAGCAAAUAGAAAAAUAGCAGAGCAGCUGGUGCACAUGUCAUACUUUAAUACGAACUCGUCUGUUUCUGUUAGCAAACGAAAAUGGUAAACAAUUAGCGGGUGGCUUUUUCCCCCCGCCCUGCAAGCCUUUGGAUAAAAGCUACCCAGACGGGAAGCUAAGUACGCUACAGAAUUGAAUGGACCCGGGAAGAUCUCCAUUGUGUUCUGGGGCUCAGUCCUGUAAGAUGCUCAGCACUGUAGCCCUGAGAGAGCAAAGUGCUUAAGAAUUCCUCAGAUGAACAAUGAGGGGAAAAAAUGGACCCAGAGCUGUUUUGCGACAUGCUCAUCAUUCCAAGGCCAUGGCUCUGUUAGUUAGCCAAGUUUAAAAUACCCGUCAAGGCCAUCAUAGACAGUAGAGCCACUCAGGUGAAGCUGCUUAAUGCAGCUUAAAGAUAAGGUCCUCUUGUAACCAAUGAACAAACCACAUAAACAGAGCAUAAACAUGUUCCAUUGCAGGCAAAAGACUUGACAAGACAGAGACAAUCAGGGAGGCUGCUCUAAUUGGCCAGAGGUGCAAAGGAGAAGGGACUUGCACCAAGAGUUGGUGGAUUUCUUUCUCGCUUGUUACAUUCAGUCAUAACAUCCUUCUAGUUUCCAGGCUUCUUUUUUCCCCCCUUGAGAUUUGAACCUGGUGAAUUCGUGCUGAUUUCAUUGAAAUGUUUCACUCAGGGAGAAAAAAAAAAACCUACAAAAAAUCUGAAAAAAU
Molecule: long non-coding RNA, 1797 nt
Organism: Dermochelys coriacea (leatherback sea turtle)
Lineage: Eukaryota; Metazoa; Chordata; Testudines; Dermochelyidae
Exons: 3
Source: RefSeq, a predicted model, not a curated record